Molecule: ribosomal RNA, 1614 nt
Filed under: metagenome
Description: SSU rRNA
Rfam family: Eukaryotic small subunit ribosomal RNA
Source: RNAcentral
UAUCCGCUUAUCGUGUGGCCUUGUGCCGACGAUAGUUCAAUCAAGUUUCUGCCCUAUCAACUUUGGAAGGUAGUUUAUUAGACUACCUUGGUUAUAACGGGUACGGGGAAUUAGGUUUCGAUUCCGGAGAGGGAGCCUGAGAAAUGGCUACCACUUCCAAGGAAGGCAGCAGGCGCGUAAAUUACCCAAUCCUAAUACAGGGAGGUAGUGACAAUAAAUAACAAGGUUGGGCUCCUAAGGGGCUCAACCAUUGGAAUGAGUACAAUUUAAAUCAGUUAACAAGGAACAAUUAGAGGGCAAGUCUGGUGCCAGCAGCCGCGGUAAUUCCAGCUCUAAUAGUGUAUAUUUAAGUUGUUGCAGUUAAAAAGCUCGUAGUCAGAACCAUGAGUGGUUAAUCUCACUUUGUUUCGUUGGUUUCCAGCGAGCAUGGUGGGAACCUACUCUUAAUUGGUUGGAUCGCUCUCUUCUGCCCUUAAUUGGGUGGUUGAGAGAGCCAGCCCGUUCACUUUGAGAAAAUUAGAGUGUUCAAUGCAGGCAACCAGUUUGCCUUUGAAUAGAUUAGCAUAGGAUGAUAAAAUAAGACUCAUUCAGUGUUUGCUGGGUUUAACUGAAGGGGUAAUGAUUAAUAGGAAUGGGCGAGGCCACUCGUAUCACACUGUCAGAGGUGAAAUUCUUAGAUUUUUGUGAGACGAACAAAGGCGAAAGCAUUUGGCAAGUACAUUUCCAUUGAUCAAGAACGAAAGUUAGGGGAUCGAAGACGAUCAGAUACCGUCGUAGUCUUAACUAUAAACCAUACGAACCAACGAUCUAGCGUCGUUUAUUGCUUGACAUGCUAGGUAGUUUGAGAGAAAUCAUUGAGUCUUUGCGUUCUGGGGGGAGUAUGGUCGCAAGUCUGAAACUUAAAGGAAUUGACGGAAGGGCACCACCAGGAGUGGAGCCUGCGGCUUAAUUUGACCCAACACGGGAAAACUCACCAGGUCCGGACAUAAGUAGGAUUGACAGAUUGAUAGUUCUUUCUUAAUUUCUAUGGGUGGUGGUGCAUGGCCGUUCUUAGUUGGUGGAGUGAUUUGUCUGGUUAAUUCCGAUAACGAACGAGACUUCGGCUUAUUAAAUAGCACAGACAAGCUUCUGAUUGGGUGAAGUAGUUGUGUCUGAUCGGUGCGGGAAACUGCGCUGUGAUGCACUUCUAUGGAACCUUGAUGACUUGGCUGUAAUUCACGCUUCUUAAAAGGACUAUUGGCGUUUAGUCAAUGGAAGUGAGGCAAUAACAGGUCUGUGAUGCCCUUAGAUGUCCUGGGCUGCACGCGCGCUACACUGUUCGGGUCAAUGAGUGAUUCACCUUGCUCGAAAGGGUUGGGUAAUCUUCUAAACCUGAGCGUGAUGGGGAUAGACUAUUGUAAUUAUUAGUCUUGAACGAGGAAUUCCUAGUAAGCGUAGAUCAUCAAUCUACGCUGAUUACGUCCCUGCCCUUUGUACACACCGCCCGUCGCUCCUACCGAUUGAAUGGUCCGGUGAAUUGCGUGGAUUGAUUGCAUGUGCGGGUAACACUGCUAGUGUUAUUGAGAAACGCAGUAAACCUUAUCAUUUAGAGGAAGGAGAAGUCGUAACAAGGUU